GAUGAACGCUAGCUACAGGCUUAACACAUGCAAGUCGAGGGGUAACGAUAUUGGAAGCUUGCUUCCGAUAGGCGUCGACCGGCGCACGGGUGAGUAACGCGUAUCCAACCGGCCCAUCACUUGGGGGUAACCUUGCGAAAGUAAGACUAAUACCCAAUGAUAUCUCUAGAAGACAUCUGAAAGGGAUUAAAGAUUUAUCGGUGAUGGAUGGGGAUGCGUCUGAUUAGCUUGUUGGCGGGGUAACGGCCCACCAAGGCGACGAUCAGUAGGGGUUCUGAGGGGAAGGUCCCCCACAGUGGAACUGAGACACGGUCCAAACUCCUACGGGAGGCAGCAGUGAGGAAUAUUGGGCAAUGGACGAGAGUCUGAACCAGCCAAGUAGCGUGCAGGAUGGCGGCCCUAUGGGUUGUAAACUGCUUUUAUAAGGGAAUAAAGUGAGCCUCGUGAGGCUUUUUGCAUGUACCUUAUGAAUAAGGACCGGCUAAUUCCGUGCCAGCCGCCGCAGUAA
Molecule: ribosomal RNA, 508 nt
Filed under: uncultured bacterium
Lineage: Bacteria
Description: partial 16S ribosomal RNA
Rfam family: Bacterial small subunit ribosomal RNA
Source: RNAcentral